UGGCCGCGCCAUGGUUGCGCGUCGCCGGCAUGCUCCGUCACGCUCGGCACCUCCUGAGCGUUGGAGUGAAGGUCGACUCGUAUGCACUCUGCAGUUCAAUUUCUACUGAUCCUGUAGCUCCUAAAUCUGUCGCGCACUUAUAUCGCAAGGUUCUUGCGUGUGUGUUUUGUCCUGCAGGGCAUUUUCUUCAGGGCAGUGGAGAGCACCCUCACCCUGAUCCGAUCUGCAGCAGCGUCCCCGAGUCCUCCCAAAGCAGCCCUGAGCCGUUCAAGUAUGCAGCCCCGGGCCGUUCAAAGACGGAGCUGCCGACCGUUCGUGAACACAACACCCCGAAUCCUGCUGCCCACCAUCCUGUAAAGGGAGACUUAUUGUGAAGACUUCAAGCUGAGUACAGAAGACUCGGUUAAUUUUUGCUCCCUUCUUGAAAUGAAGAGGGGAGUUGGUUCUCUUUUGAGGUUGCGACUCGAUUAAUCGAUUAAUUACAGCUUAUUUUCGACCUUCCUGUGCUAGUAGAUCUUUUCCCAAUUCUGAUCUUCUUUCGGUUGCUGUUUGGAUUGAUUCCCUCCGCUCUUCUUCGACCGCGCUCAUAAAUACGGCCUUGUAAUCUUGUGGAAAGGAGCAGUGCAGUGCAUGUGAGUACAUAUGGCCUGAAGCUGCUAUAAUUGUCCAAAAUCCGGUGUUUGCUGCUGCAAUCCAAGUGAAGUAUAUUUGGAAACAUGCCUGCCUCGAGUCUUCUUCUCUG
RNAcentral lists this long non-coding RNA (742 nucleotides) under Triticum aestivum (bread wheat). RNAcentral's name for it is "long non-coding RNA (TAES_LNC016332)". Lineage: Eukaryota; Viridiplantae; Streptophyta; Magnoliopsida; Poales; Poaceae. The record is from RNAcentral.